UACGUAGGUGGCGAGCGUUGUCCGGAUUUACUGGGCGUAAAGAGCGCGCAGGCGGUCGUACAAGUCGCGUGUGAAAGCCCCCGGCUCAACUGGGGAGGGUCACGCGAUACUGUUCGACUCGAAGGCAGGAGAGGGAAGUGGAAUUCCCGGUGUAGUGGUGAAAUGCGUAGAUAUCGGGAGGAACACCAGUGGCGAAGGCGACUUUCUGGCCUGUUCUUGACGCUGAGGCGCGAAAGCUAGGGGAGCAAACGGG
RNAcentral lists this ribosomal RNA (253 nucleotides) under uncultured bacterium. RNAcentral's name for it is "partial 16S ribosomal RNA". It matches the Rfam family "Bacterial small subunit ribosomal RNA", at positions 524 to 776 of the family's 1533-position model. The record is from RNAcentral.